Long non-coding RNA from Hippocampus comes (tiger tail seahorse), 961 nucleotides. RefSeq lists it as uncharacterized. The transcript is spliced from 2 exons. Lineage: Eukaryota; Metazoa; Chordata; Actinopteri; Syngnathiformes; Syngnathidae. The record is from RefSeq and is a predicted model, not a curated record.
GCAACCUUCAACACAGGACACUAGCGUUAGCUGCUAGCUGGGCUCAAAUUAGCCUGGAGACCGUUGGCUGGAUUUGCCAGUUGUUUCACAGAGACUUGGGUGUCAGGUUGGCAAACGUUUUGAGUGAUGAGCUUUAUGAGUUGUUUUAGUUGUCGUUUUGUCUUUUACAACCCCACGUGGAACAAUAUUCGCCAUCAUGUGCGGGCGUUUUUGCCCACGUGGCAAAUACAUCCUUGUGACUCUAUUAAGGGCUUCACUGAAACCUGAAAAAACAAAAAAAAACGUGAAGGCUUAUUGAAGGUUUAUUGAAGCUUUUAAAUUGGUCCUUAGUAGCUGUUUUGAAUUAGGUUAGUGACAAUGUCAGGACCAGAACAUAAAAACGGGGAAUGGCAGGAUACUUUCUGGUGGUUUUGCGAUAAGAGUUAAAAAAAAAGCUUUUGGUGUUGGACUGUCGAACGUAAAUACUUUUUUAAGUAUCAAGGAACCAUAUUUGGUAGCACAAACCAGAGUCAGACUGAACGGCACGCACCUUACCAGAAGGCCAAUCGGCAAGGAAAGGGAAUGAAAACUCUUACACUGGACUGGUAUGUCAUUAUUAUGGAUUAUAUAUUUUUCAUUGAUAAAGUAAAUGAGCAUUGACAUGCAAUAAGUGCAUUUCAAUCGCUGCAUUUAACAGUGACUGUUUUUCUUUUUUUUUUUUGGAGGGUGGGGGGGACUAUUGCAAACGUGCUUGUUAGUUCAUAUUUGACAACAACAACAACAAAAAAAAAACAUUAAUAUACUCUGCCUACGAAUAAAAUUAAAACCGAUCCUUAUCACGGUCUUUUUUUUUUUUUUUUUUAAACUGUUCAGUCAGCUCCGACUUAAGUUUCUGUGCUCUGUUCUGAUGGAAAUAUUUUGAGAAAUACUCUCUCACACACACAGACACACACACACACACACACACACACACACACACACA